This 231-nucleotide long non-coding RNA is filed under the name Brassica rapa (field mustard). RNAcentral describes it as "long non-coding RNA (BRAP_LNC008750)". Lineage: Eukaryota; Viridiplantae; Streptophyta; Magnoliopsida; Brassicales; Brassicaceae. The record is from RNAcentral.
GCUUCAGCAGAAAGGUGAGCCUUAGCUUCUCUAUCCUUGUUGAACUUGCUCGGCCUGAGGUGUGGAUGUAGAAUCCAGCACUGGCUCUUCUUAUGCCCCUGCCGCUUGCAAUGCUCACAGCUUCCCUCAUACUUCUCAUACUUCCUUCCAUCUCCACGGUACGCUGCCUUGUUUGCUUGCGCCUCUUCCGCUUUAUGAGCCGUGGACAUUCCCUUCUUGCCUCCAAACAAC